RNAcentral lists this unclassified non-coding RNA (357 nucleotides) under fungal sp. Its description in RNAcentral is "partial internal transcribed spacer region". The stretch from base 1 to 46 matches the Rfam family "Eukaryotic small subunit ribosomal RNA", at positions 1786 to 1831 of the family's 1831-position model. The record is from RNAcentral. Lineage: Eukaryota; Fungi.
AAGUCGUAACAAGGUUUCCGUAGGUGAACCUGCGGAAGGAUCAUUAUCACAAAUGAUUUUUAACUCUCUUAAUCCAGAGUUAAACCUCUUCUUAAACCAAUCUAAUUAAAAUGUGAAUUGUUAAUUAUGUAUUUUUUUAUUGUGAUAGCGGGUGGUGGUUUCACUACCUACUAGAUCAAUAAUAAUGAUACUAUAAUUCUUUUUUUUUAACCAAUUGAACCCUUUUCUAAUUUUGUUAUUUUAUUUCUAUUUAGUUCUGAAAUCUAUUAUAUCUCAAUAGCGAUAUUGAAAUAUAGUAAGUUACAUUACGAAACAAUAUAAAUAAAACAACUCUUAGCAACGGAUAUCUUGGUUCUC